GCCUUGAUGGUGAAAUGGUAGACACGCGAGACUCAAAAUAUCGUGCUAAAGAGCAUGGAGGUUCGAGUCCUUUUCAAGGCA
This 81-nucleotide transfer RNA is filed under the name Yoania japonica. RNAcentral's name for it is "tRNA-Leu". It matches the Rfam family "tRNA". Rfam says of the family: Transfer RNA (tRNA) molecules are approximately 80 nucleotides in length. Their secondary structure includes four short double-helical elements and three loops (D, anti-codon, and T loops). RNAcentral also lists the same sequence under 3 other names. Lineage: Eukaryota; Viridiplantae; Streptophyta; Magnoliopsida; Asparagales; Orchidaceae. The record is from RNAcentral.